CUGAAAUGUAAGUCGGUACAUUUUGCGAAGCAGGAAUAUUUUCUACCAAAGACACAUGAGGUGGAGGCUGUUUUACCAACGGUGUAACUGAAAUGUAAGUUGGCACAUUGCACGAAGAAGCAGGAGCAUUUUCUACCAAAGACGAGUCAACAUGCAGAGGCUGUACCAACGGAGUAUCUGAAAUGUAAGUUGGUAAACUGUGCGGAUAAGCAGGAGCAUUUUCUACCAAAGACGAGUCAACAUGCAGAGGCUGUACCAACGGAGUAUCUGAAAUGUAAGUUGGUAAACUGUGCGGAU
This 297-nucleotide unclassified non-coding RNA is filed under the name Hevea brasiliensis (rubber tree). Lineage: Eukaryota; Viridiplantae; Streptophyta; Magnoliopsida; Malpighiales; Euphorbiaceae. The record is from RNAcentral.